UACGAAGGGGGCUAGCGUUGCUCGGAAUCACUGGGCGUAAAGCGCACGUAGGCGGAUUGCUAAGUCAGGGGUGAAAUCCUGGAGCUCAACUCCAGAACUGCCUUUGAUACUGGCGGUCUCGAGUCCGGGAGAGGUGAGUGGAACUGCGAGUGUAGAGGUGAAAUUCGUAGAUAUUCGCAAGAACACCAGUGGCGAAGGCGGCUCACUGGCCCGGAACUGACGCUGAGACGCGAAAGCGUGGGGAGCAAACAGG
This 253-nucleotide ribosomal RNA is filed under the name uncultured bacterium. RNAcentral's name for it is "partial 16S ribosomal RNA". It matches the Rfam family "Bacterial small subunit ribosomal RNA", at positions 524 to 776 of the family's 1533-position model. The record is from RNAcentral.